This 242-nucleotide unclassified non-coding RNA is filed under the name plant metagenome. RNAcentral describes it as "partial contains small subunit ribosomal RNA, internal transcribed spacer 1, and 5.8S ribosomal RNA". The record is from RNAcentral.
UCUCCGUUGGUGAACCAGCGGAGGGAUCAUUACAGAGUUUUCACAACUCCCAACCCUUGCGAACCGUACCCAUUCUGUUCUCGUUGCUUCCGGCGGGGGGGAGGGGGGGGCCCGAAACGGCCUCCCCGCCCCGCCCGCCGGGGGCGGCGGGCCCUACGAACCUUUAUAUCUCAACCACUAGAAACCGUCUGAGAAAACAAACAAAAUAAUCAAAACUUUCAACAACGGAUCUCUUGGCUCUG